Cyprinus carpio (common carp) is the source of this 1845-nucleotide long non-coding RNA. NCBI's taxonomy places the organism in Eukaryota, Metazoa, Chordata, Actinopteri, Cypriniformes, Cyprinidae. The record is from Ensembl.
CUUUUACUGCAGGAAAUUUCAGCACACCACAUUGCGUGAGGCGACGAAGAGCUCCAUUCUUGGCUGGGCUCAGCACCGUGCCAGGCUGCCUGGAGCUUGCCAGGGAGGAAGGGAGGUGAGGGGGAUGGGGUUGUGGUAUGGGUCCCGUGCCAACAUUACAGCUCUGCAGUUUUUUUUUUCUUCUCUGACAAUAGCAAGUGUGACCAAGCCACCAAGAAACCCAAAACGAGAGAACAGCAGGGGCGAGCAGACACUUUUCUAGGCUCUCCAGUGUAAAGUCGCUUUCAUUUGCCCUGCUGCUCUCCAGGUUUUUGAGGUUUUACAGUGUCUUCAGCUGUGUCAGUGUGAGCAAGGCAGCUUUUUUUCCUCCUUUUGCUCGUUUCCGCCCUCUUCCUUCGUCUUAUUUCUCAUAGUUUGUUUUGUCAGAUUUCCAGCACUCUAUGUGAGGCCUUUUUUUCACCCUUCACUAUCCCAUCAGCCCCCUCUCUUUUCUUUUUUCUGCUUUUUUCCCCCCAUUCCACUCCCAAAACAGUGCUGUGGUCGAGAAGCGGUUGAAUAGGAAUAAUAUUUGCUGUACUUUGCCGCCUUCCUGGUCCUAUUCUCCUCUAACAACGAGCCUUAUUUUUAGCUGCAUGCAGGGUUUGGUCAUUUCCUGCGGCUGGACUUUAAAGGAGGUGCUCGUGGUUAUGGUGCUUAUCCAAGCGGUGUGAUCUGUGACUGGUGGUUCAUUUAGGCAAAGCUAGAUCUGUGUUUAAGACUAUUGUUCGUGUCUGAAGUUCGUGCCGGCAGGCAGAUCUGGAUGUAAUAUGGAGUGAAAAGUAUUAAUCACCAUCACUACGAAAAUAUCUCAAGAAGUCUCAAGCUGAAAACAAACUUCACCCACAUAAGAGCCACAGUGCAAUAUGGUGGAGAAGCCAUUAGACCACAGCUCCAAAACUAAUGAAAUUAAUUACGGGCUAGGUCUCUCUAAACAGCUUUAUCCCCUCCGGGGGGCUGAGAUGGUGCAGUCCUGGACCCCCUUCAGCGCACUGGGAGAUUUAAGAGCGGGAUGAAAGAAACCUGGGCCAGUCAGCGGUCACCACUCUCUGAUUCAUCUUUCUGGGAAAGAGCAGAGGGGGAGAAAACCACAGAAAGCUCCCUCCUUCGUUAAAGUUACAAUCACACUGAUAGGCCAAACAAGACAGCAUAGAGAGAUGGACUGAGGUCAAAACAUGCCCAAGGCAAGCUUGUGAACAAAAAUGCUUCUAGCUAAUUUUGAUUUUGUGCAUAGUUGUGUUUAGAAAUGUGUCAGACCAUAAGUCAUAAUGCAGCACACGUGUAACUUGCAUGUUCAGCAUUGCCACAAGGGGUGCUAUAGCGGUAUAAUACUGUAGACAGAUUUCUCUUUCAGGUCAACAACUAUCAAGGCAACAGUUUGCAGUGGAUGCAUGAAUGUGUCAAGUGGCACAUUUGAGUCUUCCUGGGAAGCUGGAUUUAUGAGUGUGAAGUUGUAAUUAACACAUCAGGGGCCUAAUUUAUAAAAUACCCAUAAGAUUGGACUUCCUUGCCUGUUGAUGAUGGGUGCUUUAGUUUUUCUUAACCACGGAGAGAUAUUUGUGGGGUUCUGGAGAUGUACUUGCACACAUCGCACUUGAAUUUAAGAUGAACUGCAGUUUAUAAAGAGAAGUGUAUUUAGGAACGUUUGUGAGAAUACAGACAUUUUAUAAAUCAUUAAUAGGAACAUUUCAGAAACUGCAGCACAUUCACAUUUUAUUAUACGCAUGUUUUUAAGUUGUUUAAAGUUCUUUUUUUUUAAGUGUGUUUAAAUCACAUUAGUCAGAGCAAGUGUUUAAUGUACAACUCUUU